AACCUGGCCCUUUGGAAACCCACUAUGCCCAGUAUCUAUUCCUAAAAAGCCAUAUUUCUUCUCUCGCGAUAUUUUCUUUCGCUCUGUGGCAAGGGUGCAGCGCUCCUUCAUCACUUUCUUCUUCAAUCUUUUGUCAUUCUUCACCAUAAGAAAAUUACACCAAAUCACCCCAUGAAAUUCAUGCUAUUGAAGGACAAAAAUAUCUUGCAAGUGGAAAGGUUGUUGGCAUGGUUUUGGGAGAUAGGGUUUGUGCUAAGGAAUGAGAAGAGCACCCACCCCUUCAUGAUUACUCAGUCGGGUUAUUGAGAUUUAUCGGCUAGUGGUUCGUUCGGUUGGCGUGGAGCUGUUGAGAGCGAUUCAGUUGAUUCGUCUUGGUUAUUCACAAGCAACUAAGUAGUAAGCGGGUGUCAGAUUCAAAUCGUUCAAUUUAUCUUAUUGGUAGGCCUCCUUUGGUUGGUGGCUCGAUGGGUGUCUUUUAUUUGAUUCUAGUUAUCUGCAGCUAUAGGGAGUAUUAGGAGGAUUUUAGAUUUUAGAUUUUUAUUUAUUGUUUUGUUGUAAAAGUUGUACUAGAGUGCUAAAAUUGAAAAUUUCCUUUUAAUGGAAGUUUGAAAAUGGAGAUCAUUAUUUGACAGGUUUUGUCAUUUGA
Lotus japonicus is the source of this 646-nucleotide long non-coding RNA. RefSeq lists it as uncharacterized. NCBI's taxonomy places the organism in Eukaryota, Viridiplantae, Streptophyta, Magnoliopsida, Fabales, Fabaceae. The transcript is spliced from 3 exons. The record is from RefSeq and is a predicted model, not a curated record.